This 23-nucleotide non-coding RNA is filed under the name Mus musculus (house mouse). Lineage: Eukaryota; Metazoa; Chordata; Mammalia; Rodentia; Muridae. The record is from RNAcentral.
UGAUAUGUUUGAUAUUGGGUUGU